GACGAACGCUGGCGGCGUGCUUAACACAUGCAAGUCGAGCGGUAAGGCCCUUUCGGGGGUACACGAGCGGCGAACGGGUGAGUAACACGUGGGUGACCUGCCCUUAGCUCUGGGAUAAGCCUGGGAAACUGGGUCUAAUACCGGAUAUGACUCCAUGACGCAUGUUGUGGGGUGAAAGCCUUGUGCGGCUAGGGAUGGGCCCGCGGCCUAUCAGCUUGUUGGUGGGGUGAUGGCCACCAAGGCGACGACGGGUAGCCGGCCUGAGAGGGCGACCGGCCACACUGGGACUGAGACACGGCCCAGACUCCUACGGGAGGCAGCAGUGGGGAAUCUUGCGCAAUGGGCGAAAGCCUGACGCAGCGACGCCGCGUGAGGGAUGACGGCCUGG
RNAcentral lists this ribosomal RNA (388 nucleotides) under uncultured bacterium. Its description in RNAcentral is "bacterial SSU rRNA". It matches the Rfam family "Bacterial small subunit ribosomal RNA", at positions 28 to 419 of the family's 1533-position model. The record is from RNAcentral.